UACGAAGGGGGCUAGCGUUGCUCGGAAUCAUUGGGCGUAAAGGGUGCGUAGGCGGGUUUUUAAGUCAGGGGUGAAAUCCUGGAGCUCAACUCCAGAACUGCCUUUGAUACUGAAGAUCUUGAGUUCGGGAGAGGUGAGUGGAACUGCGAGUGUAGAGGUGAAAAUUCGUAGAUAUUCGCAAGAACACCAGUGGCGAAGGCGGCUCACUGGCCCGAUACUGACGCUGAGGCACGAAAGCGUGGGGAGCAAACAGG
RNAcentral lists this ribosomal RNA (254 nucleotides) under uncultured bacterium. RNAcentral's name for it is "partial 16S ribosomal RNA". It matches the Rfam family "Bacterial small subunit ribosomal RNA", at positions 524 to 776 of the family's 1533-position model. The record is from RNAcentral.